AGAGUUUGAUCAUGGCUCAGAUUGAACGCUGGCGGCGUGCCUAACACAUGCAAGUCGAGCGGACCCUUCGGGGUUAGCGGCGGACGGGUGAGUAACACGUAGGCAACCUGCCUGUAAGACCGGGAUAACUACCGGAAACGGUAGCUAAGACCGGAUAGCUGGUUUCUCCGCAUGGAGAGAUCAUGAAACACGGCGCAAGC
RNAcentral lists this ribosomal RNA (200 nucleotides) under uncultured bacterium. RNAcentral describes it as "partial 16S ribosomal RNA". It matches the Rfam family "Bacterial small subunit ribosomal RNA", at positions 8 to 212 of the family's 1533-position model. The record is from RNAcentral.